This 465-nucleotide ribosomal RNA is filed under the name uncultured bacterium. Its description in RNAcentral is "partial 16S ribosomal RNA". It matches the Rfam family "Bacterial small subunit ribosomal RNA", at positions 339 to 795 of the family's 1533-position model. The record is from RNAcentral.
CUACGGGUGGCACCAGUGAGGAAUUUUGCGCAAUGGGGGCAACCCUGACGCAGCAACGCCGCGUGAGUGAAGAAGGCCUUUGGGUCGUAAAGCUCUGUCAAUGGGGAAGAAGUUAUUAUGUGUUAAUAGCACAUUUUAUUGACGGUACCCAUGAAGGAAGCACCGGCUAACUCCGUGCCAGCAGCCGCGGUAAUACCGGGGGUGCAAGCGUUAUUCGGAAUUAUUGGGCGUAAAGGGCACGCAGGCGGUCCUGUCAGUCAGAUGUGAAAGCCCGGGGCUCAACCCUGGACGUGCAUUUGGAACAGCAGGACUUGAGUACGGGAGAGGAAAGGGGAAUUCCUGGUGUAGAGGUGAAAUUCGUAGAUAUCAGGAGGAACACCGGUGGCGAAGGCGCCUUUCUGGACCGAUACUGACGCUGAGGUGCGAAGGCGUGGGUAGCGAACGGGAUUAGAUACCCUCGUAGUC